UGAAAGCUUCCAGAUGGCUUGGUUGAUUCAGAUGGCCAUUGAUGCGAUGAGAUCGAGCUUGGGAGAUAGGUGGAGAUGGAUGCGGGCAGAGAGCAGCGACAGGACAGCUCUCCUCUCCCUCCUGAAGUCCCGGUCCUCGUAACGACCCCCCUCUCCUCUCCUCAGUGAUUCAGAUCCAUGUUUCCUAACCCUUCUUUUUUUUUUAUUUGAUUCCAUUCACAGAUGUUUCCUAAUGAUCCAGCCUGCCCACCGCACCCGCACUGUGGAGCUGGAGCUGGAGCUGCCGACCUGGACCGACUGCAAGGAAGAAGACGAGAGGUAGAUAGAGAGGGACAAACAGAG
RNAcentral lists this long non-coding RNA (342 nucleotides) under Sorghum bicolor (sorghum). Its description in RNAcentral is "long non-coding RNA (SBIC_LNC007499)". Lineage: Eukaryota; Viridiplantae; Streptophyta; Magnoliopsida; Poales; Poaceae. The record is from RNAcentral.